GACAAAAUUUACUCCCACACUAAAUUGUUUCCUUUUUCCUCCGACAAAGUCAUUUCUCUUCCUCAUCCUCAUUCUCUCUUCCCUCCUCUUCGCCAUCGCUCUCUUCUUCCUCCGAUCGUAACCCUUCAAAUCCCUACCCUUUUGGCUCUACCUCUCCCUCACCGGCGGCGACGUCCACGUCAGAUGAACAUGCCCCUGCCGUCGCCAAUGACCUGAAGCCUCCCCUGCAGCGCCGAUCCAGAACCCGCAGAUCGGAGGAACUCUUCGUUGCCUCGCACUGCCGUCAGGUUCGCGAAAUUGGGGAACGACCGGUGGCGGAGAAGGAGAAGGAGUGGAGCGAAGAGGACGUUGAGGUUUGAAGAAGCAGAUGACGAAGCUUCCCGUGGGGAAACCUGGACAGUGGGAAGCGAUGCAGCCUUCAUUGUGCAACACAGGGUGGACAGCGUGAUCUGGGAGAAGAGAAUCGACGAUUCGGAAAGGAAUUCUGGAAAUCCAUGGCUGCUUGUGCGCAAAGAGUUGCUGAAUUGAAGAGAGGGUUUCAGAAUGCAAAAGCUGCUUCCUAAUGGUAAAUGCACUUUUGAUUUUUGUCAAGUUCAUUGCAUGUUUAGUUAUUUUGUCAGAGAUUAUUCUUAGACAGAAAGAAGAGGCUUCUAAGAGGAAGAAGAACAUGGUAAUCAGCAUUUAUACGUUAAUCAAUUGAAGGGAAAAUCAGUAUUAGAGCUUGGAGCAGGCAUUGAAAUAUUUAAAGGUCAUAAAGAUUAGAGAAGUUGUGAGGCUUGAAGUUAAAAAGGAGAAAAAAAAUCUAGAUUUUGUGGUAUCUAAGCUGCAGUGCCAUUGCAGUGGCUGCGGAAUUUGCAGGUUUGGGAGAAAUUUGACUUGGAGAUUGCUGCUACACCAAUGCCUGAACCAGGCCUUAGGAUUAUCUAAUGAGCUGAACCGUGCUAAAGCUUUGGUCAAAGUCCUUACUUGAAACUUGAAAGAGCCUGUCAAACAAAUUGAGGACACAACUCAAAGGUUAGCUGCAUUCCUUUCACAACGCAAUUAAGUUUUUCUUAAUCUGGAGCCCGUGGUGAUUUUUCGAUAAAUUUAUGUUGUGUGAAAUGGUGAUGACAUGUUGUUCACACUUACUUUUAUUAGUUUCCCAUUGUGGCGGAUUGUAUGUUUAAGACGCCAUGUUGGCGACCUAUAUGCUUUAUAGCGGCUUAUAUACUUUAUAGAGGGCGAGCUUUAUUGCCCAAGUCGAGAUUAGAGCAAUGUAGCCUGGAAGGCUAGUUGUGGGGGGACAUCACCGCCAAUCGAAGAGUUAUCUCUAUAACAAGUCAUCCAAGGGCGGCAUAUGUUCAUUAAGACUUAAGACACUUUGCCCUUAUACUUCGGGCACAUGUCUUGUGGGCUUGUGCACUGGGCGGGACCUGCUCAUGACUAUAGGACGGCUAGGCGAGACCUCCAUAGGCCGACCAACUCUCCAGGCCGAGGAUUUUUUAGGCCCAAUGGCCCAACUAGUAUAGCAUUAGGAUAUUGGACCAUCCCACUAUAAAAGGGGAAGUCAUUCAUUGCAUACAUUGAAGUGAUAAGGAAAUUUUUUCAAUAAGCUAUUGGCUUAAAAGGCUGACCUUGCAUGUUUUGACCUUUGUUUUAGCCCCUUUGAGCCUAAUAUAUCCAUUCUUUUGUAGCUCAUUACAAGCCUAAGUGAAAAAGAAUAAUGAAAGGGAAGGAAGGUACUCAUUGCAAAAGGAAAAAAAUGAAAUGAAAGUUGUAAAAAAAUGUUGUGAAAAGGAAGAAUGUGCUAAUUCUUGGGGUUGUGAGUAAGUUUAAUUUGAAUUAUUCUCCAUUGCUCUUAUUUUUCCUAUGGUUUUAACUCUGAAAAUCUUUCUUAAAUCCUUCAUUGACCUUGGCUGCAUUACAAUCUUGGAAAGUCCUUUGAUCUUUGUAUAUAUUUAUUCAAUUUAAUUGAUGUGUUAGAAUCUUGACAAGCCUAUGAUAGUUGCAUGUUUUCAUGAGAUGAUGAGAGUUGCUUAAGCAUAACUAAACACAAGCCUAAACACUUGAGAGUAGAGAAUAUAACACUUGUAUCAAACUUUGAUGUUCAAUUUGCAAUUGUUGGCUUGGAAAGUAGGUGGAGUUCUGUUUGCCUAAUCUCCGUGGAAAAGUGAAGUGGUUGUUUUCUUGCUCAUAAAUCUGAAUUUCUACUUCUCAAAGAUAAGUGUGUGUUGAGUUUUUAUGUUUUAGGAAGAAAUACUUGUUAUCAUAAGUGAUUUCUGAUUCUUCUUUGAAGUAAAGUUUUGCCUAGGAGUGCAAAAAGCUUAGUGUGGGGGAGUUUGAUAAGCGCAUAAUUGAUGCACUUUAUGUGUGUCUUUCUAAGCUUCAUUAUAUACAUCUUUGUUCUUAAUUUUUAUGUCUUAGUCAUGUUCUGACCAUUAGUGCUUAUUUUGAUUACUAAAAGAAAAGUGCUUAAUUCUUUUUUUUAGCUUCUAUGACUCUUUUGCUAGAGCAGGUUGAAUUUGGAGCUAGAGUGAUCCGAAUAGGGAGAAUGAUAUGUCUAUGGAAAGCUAACGCGAAGCUCUACAACCUUUAUGUUUAGUACAGUACGAGAAUCAGCAUAUAUCAUGGUCAUAAUUGUCUUGCAAAGUUGUUGUCGCUAAUCCUGUGAGUCUGGAGCAGUCUGCACUAAAACGAUCAUAUCUUGGGCUACAGAACUCCGAAUUAGGAUCUGAUUGAGGGCCCGCGAAUAUGACUCAAAGGGCUACAACUCUCGUGUUUAACUUAAUUUAAGAUUCGGCCUUCUUGUGGGUCCUGCGAACACUUGAAUCUUCAGCAGCUUACUCCUCUCUUGGGCCCGAUUUUGUGAAGAUUUAGAAAAGAUUUAGGAAAGAUUUAGAUAGCAAAGAUUGUUACUUGAUGGACAAGUUUAUCUAUUAGUAUAAAUAGGCUGGUUGAGGCUCCUGUUAGGAUCUAACCUCAUCUCUCCCUCUUUUCUAGUAUGAGUUACUAAACUCCUUAGUUAGUCUUAGGAUUUUUAACAUUCUUGUGUUUGCAAACCUGAGGUUUCGUUCUUAAUAUAUUUCAUCUUUUUAUUCAA
This is a long non-coding RNA of Lotus japonicus, 3079 nucleotides long. RefSeq lists it as uncharacterized. NCBI's taxonomy places the organism in Eukaryota, Viridiplantae, Streptophyta, Magnoliopsida, Fabales, Fabaceae. The transcript has 6 exons. The record is from RefSeq and is a predicted model, not a curated record.